This is a long non-coding RNA of Cyprinus carpio (common carp), 422 nucleotides long. The record is from Ensembl. Lineage: Eukaryota; Metazoa; Chordata; Actinopteri; Cypriniformes; Cyprinidae.
GAACGUAAAAUCCGUCCUGCUGCGUGCAUAUCUGCGCUCCGCCGCCUCCUUCCAGCUUUACCGAUGAGUACAGCCGUCCAACCGGACAAAAGAAUCAGUUCUGAUCGGUUAUUUUCAUGCAGUAUCAAGCAGACUGUAGACGGAUGAAAUGGUGCCGCUGAGCCGUGUGUUACGUGAUCGCAGUGCGCAGAACAGCGCCGCCGCGCGGUCAGACUGAGAACAGCGAGCAGCUUCAGGUGAUGCUGUAAUACAGAGAGAAAAAAAAAGAUGUGGCCAUGCGACGACUGAAGCUGGAAAUAUCGCUUUCUUGUUUGGAGGAGCUUCCAGCGUGAUCACAGAGGAACUUCAGGACGUGCUGAAACGACACAGGUCUCAGAACGAGGCGAGAACCACAGCGAGAGGAAGGAGCUUGUAAACUGAAU